UUUCCGUAGGUGAACCUGCGGAAGGAUCAUUAUUGUAUAACCGAGGUGCGAGGGCUUUCGCUGACCCGAAAGGUCGUGCACGCCCGAGUGCCCUCACACACAUCCAUCUCACCCCUAUGUGCACCACCGCGUGGGUCCCCCUUUGGCUUGUUCGGAGGGGGGCUUACGUCUUCACACAAACUUUGUAUGUAGUGUAGAAUGUAUUUUUUGUUUUUGCGAUCACGCAAUCAAUACAACUUUCAACAACGGAUCUCUUGGCUCUC
RNAcentral lists this unclassified non-coding RNA (263 nucleotides) under plant metagenome. Its description in RNAcentral is "partial contains small subunit ribosomal RNA, internal transcribed spacer 1, and 5.8S ribosomal RNA". The record is from RNAcentral.